This 263-nucleotide unclassified non-coding RNA is filed under the name plant metagenome. Its description in RNAcentral is "partial contains small subunit ribosomal RNA, internal transcribed spacer 1, and 5.8S ribosomal RNA". The record is from RNAcentral.
UUUCCGUAGGUGAACCUGCGGAAGGAUCAUUAUUGUAUAACCGAGGUGCGAGGGCUGUCGCUGACCCGAAAGGUCGUGCACGCCCCAGUGCCCUCACACACAUCCAUCUCACCCCUAUGUGCACCACCGCGUGGGUCCCCCUUUGGCUUGUUCGGAGGUGGGCUUACGUUUUCACACAAACUUUGUAUGCAGUGUAGAAUGUAUUUUUUGUUUUUGCGAUCACGCAAUCAAUACAACUUUCAACAACGGAUCUCUUGGCUCUC